GACGGGAGCGCAGCCAGGGCCGCGCUGCCCGGCGGGAGGAGCAGGCCGCGGCGGAGCUCUGCCUUUGUCUCCGCACCAAGGAGGAUACGCUGGAUUGAAAACCAGGGAGGUGUUUUCGCUGCCUGCAGAGGAAUUUCCCCACUUGGCAGGUCAGGAGGAUCGCAGCGCUCCCGGCUCCGGCCUCAGCAGCGGGCGGGCCGGAGGUGGGAGAGGGCUACCGAGCCCCCACUGCUGAGGCACGGCAGAGAGGCCACCUGGCCAGUGGUGAGAAUCAAGGUGCUGCUGGAUAAAUCAGGCUCAUGGUAAGACCUGAAGAAGCCUUUGUCACCAGCACAGACUCUGCUAGGGCAGGGCUGCUGUAGAGGAUUUCAGUAGGUAGUUCAGCUGGGAUACAAGUCAAAGAAGAAAUUUCAGCCUGCUGUCUCUGGGGUACUUUAUCCCUCUGCAGGGGAAACAGAAAAGAAACACCCAAAGCUUUGCUCUUCAUUGCAUUUUUAUGAUCACAGUCUCCUGACAGCAUUAAUUCCCAUGGGAGAUCAGCAAGCAUCUUUGCAGGUCUGAGUGACUGGGACAGAGCAGCUGCAAUCAGAAUUCAGAUUAACAGCUGCUCUGCCAAGGUUCGUGCUUGGUGAACCCUGUGCUGCCAAGAGACGUUUGGAAAACAGCCUUAGGAUCCAGGGCUGCAGAAAGCAGCCCAGAGGCAGGACGGAGCUGCCACCCAGACCCUAGGGAUGGCCAGGCUCCCUUUUCCAGCUUGCCCAUCACUCUAUCCAACAUCUGAUUUGUCUGUUUUUCCCAUGGAAAACUUUAUUUUGUAUUUAAAAUAAGCCUCAAGGGUUAAUUCUUUCUUGUUUUCAUGAUUCAUCUCCCAAAUGUGGGUGUAUUAUAUUGUUUUCCCUGGAUUGGGUACUCCUUUCUUUUUUCCCCAAGCAGAGCUUUGCUGUCAUUUCAGUCCCCACUGCCACAGUUCUCACAGCAUGUUUGUUCACCUAAAAGUAAAUGCUCUGUUAGGAACAGAAAUCCUUUUUCAAGAAAACAAAAGAACAAAGAAAUAGACUUUUACAGAAGAGAAGAUAAAAUAUAUUUACAAAACGGCCUCACAGCAACUUGUUCAUCAGCCCAGUGGUCUUGCAGCCCAAUACUUUUUUGUUGUUGUUGCUGCUGUUGUUAUAUUGGUUGGAAACACCUUUAUGCUCUUAAAGCUUUAACAAGCACCUUCAAACAUCUCAGUGGCUUGUCAGCCUACUUUGGUGUUACAGAUUUCUUCAAAACUACGGAUUUUUCUGGUUAGAAAGAAGCAGGCAAGCUGCAAACCCAGUACAGCCAGAGGAGCAGCAUCCAGAUCAGUGUUUUGCAGGCCACAAAUCCCAUUAUUGAUCCCAACCUCAGACUUCGGACAACAGCUCUGAAGUGGACGUCCCAGAGGAAGACGACUGUUGCAGGCAGAUCAGAGGGUCCCAGCCUGAGAGAGCAUCUGAGUGGUGAACUCUCCUUUGCCAGACACUGGGGAGAAGUGAAUUGAUUGCAGUGACUUAAACUGUGGGUUUUGUAGAGAGACUGGGAAUCCUCUGAGGCAUGGGAAGAUGCAGAAGCCCAGUGCUGACACUUUGGAAGUUUGUGGGCAUUGGGCUGCCUCUGUCUUGCAGAAUCUCCCAUUCCACCAGAGCAAGAGUGCAAAGGGGAGCGAGAGAAAAACAAAUGGGAGGUGCAGACAAGAGGGGGUGGAAGCCAGGAUCUGUGUCAGACUGUCAGGAGCAAGGCCAGACGUGGUAAAAAGUGGGUGCUCCGUAAAUUCCCCAUACAUGUGUUUUGGGUGGGUUAAUAGCUUGACUCAGCACAGAUUUCCUUCUCCAGCAUGGCUCAUGAGCACAGACCAAGCUUUUGAUUCACACUUUGAGUGGGUUAGUUUCACAAGUCUUCUAGUGAACCUUUGAAAUUGGAUAAGAGCAAAAGCAUAGUAAAAAAGGCUCCUUGCAUUUCUGAGCACAUAACUGCUGCUGUUUCAUUAUGAUCUAAUGUUUCAUUGACCAAACCUUGGCUUGGGAAAUAGCAGAGAUGUGGUAAAAUAUGAUCUCUGAAUGACUGAUAUGUCGGGAAGAGAAAAAAAAAGCGAGAACUGUGAAGCAAAAAACCUGGUAUUUUUAUAAUUAAAGCGUGACCUUUUCCCUUUAAAUUUAUUACUGCUCUGACCCUGAAACUACCAAAAACUAAACAGUAGUGAGCAUGGUGCCUGGGUGCCCCAGGAGUGGAAAUGUGAUACUAAAUCCCUCAUCCCAGGCUGAUUUAGUCCAGGCUAUAAAUCUGGGCUCUUCAUAGGUGGGAUAUUAUUGGCCACAUCGCAGGCAGCCCUUGAGGAUGCUGAGAAUGGAUCAGAAGAGCUGCAUGGGCCACUUGGAUGUGGCCCAUCUGCAUGAAGGACUGUCCAAAUUUUAGCACAGCUCAAACUUUUUCUGCUUCUGAGUUGUCCAUGGUGGUGGCCUGUUUCGCAACAGGGAUUGUCACCAGAUACCCCAGCAUGAGCAGCUUAAAUGCAGUCCAGAAAACCUACCCGCUGCACCUCUGGCUUUUUAAACAACAGAAAGCUGAAACUCUCUGCAAAGGGCAAAUGGGGACAGGGGAGUUGGAAAGUGGCUGUUUCUUGAUGUCAUUUUACUGCUAAAUGCCCCUGUCUCUGGAAAAGCAGUAGCUGCCUCCGUGAGUGAGGCACACAUUCUUUUAGAUAAGCUGAGAAAAUAAUCUUCCUGAAUCCUGGCCAAACACAUUACAGCUACUGCCUUGGUUGGUGUUUUAAAAGCUACCUGUGUUUAAAACUCUCAUGCAAUUCCUUCACAGAGCAAGAGCUACCUGCAGCUGUGCCACCCAAGACGGGGGAGCUGCAGGAUUAAAACAAAAGCUACAUUAAAAUAAAAGCUGGAGUUUCCAGCCCUUGUGACCAUGACUGGGAAGUUUAGAAAUUUGAUAGCAUGCACCUCAAGAGCUCAGAAGCUGGAAGGCAAGGAGGUGAUCUGGUAUUUGCCAUCUUCUAAUAUUUCCUAGCUUUUAGACCAACAAGGAGCCUUGCUUAUUAUUUUGCAGAGCUGUCCAGCUGUUUUAAACUCUGUGACGGGAUUUAGAAAGCGGCUGAACUCCGCCAACAAACUUCACACGUAUCUAGAGAAAUAAUGAAAUAAAUCAAGAGCAUGCCCCUAAUGCCCAUGUUGAGGCAAAAUAACGUUUACAAAAAAAAAAAAAAAAAAAGAAAGUCUGCAAGACUGAAGUAAUGGGUACAGGAAUGCUGUUGUUGUUUUUUUGUUCCUACGCACAUGCCUUUGGUGUGAGGUAGUGUUUGUACUUCGCUCACGAUGGCUGGGAACGUCACUGUCUGGCACCGUGCAGGUAAUGAAUUCAGGGCAGCUUACAGGUGGUGGCACAAAGCUGCACCUGUUUUUCUUCCCUUUUUGAUUAAGUGUGUUCAUUCUGCCACCAAGGUCAUGGCGUGUGGGAGAAGGAGAAAAAUUAAAGACGGAAAGAACGGGCAGAGGGAGGUGGGAAUCGAGGAGUUCUGGAAACCGCGUGCAGCAUGGUGGCUGCUGGAGGAGCUGACUCGGUGCCUGGGGAACUCAGGAGCCCUCUCACUCAGGGAGCCCUCCCUGCCAAAAGCCAGGUGCUCUCAGACCCUGGAGGAUGGAGACUUUCGGAGCGGUGUGGGGAAGAGCCAGGAGCAUAGGUACAUGUUGUGGUCACGGGCUGGGCUUCACUUGUGUUUCCUGGCUGCUUUUUGCUUUCAAAAUCAGGGUAUCAGAUCACAGAAUAUUCUGAGUUGGAAGGGACUCACGAGGAUCAAUGAGUCCAAAUCAUAAGUGAAUGGCCCAUAUGGGGAUCCAAGCCACAUGAAGCUCAUCAGAGCUAACCCAGGUGAGGGUGCAGAGCUGGAGUCAGUGACUGUGCUACUGCCCACACCCCAUUUACAGCCCUCACGUGUGACUCCCCGUGACAUAGAGCUUCAUGCUUUUAGUGUCUGAAACUAUUAAACUGUAUGUGGAGUUUUCCACGUUUU
Long non-coding RNA from Hirundo rustica (Barn swallow), 4036 nucleotides. RefSeq lists it as uncharacterized. The transcript has 4 exons. NCBI's taxonomy places the organism in Eukaryota, Metazoa, Chordata, Aves, Passeriformes, Hirundinidae. The record is from RefSeq and is a predicted model, not a curated record.